AGGGUUUGAUCCCGGCUCAGAGUGAACGCUGGCGGCGUGGAUUAGGCAUGCAAGUCGAGCGAUCCUUGUCGCUGAUGCUGAUUGAAACCUUCGGGAUGAUAUUAGCUGAAGUGACGCUGGAUAGCGGCAAACCGGUGAGUAACACGUGGGUAACGUACCUUGAGGAAGUGGACAGCCUCGCGAAAGCGGGGGUAAUACACUAUCUGCCUUGGAAUCUGAGAUGAUCCAAUGGAAAGAUGGCCUCUACUUGUAAGCUAUCACCUUAAGAGCGACCCGCGUCCUAUUAGAUUGUUGGUGAGGUAAUGGCUCACCAAGUCGAAGAUGGGUAGCUGGUCUGAGAGGAUGGUCAGCCACAUCGGGACUGAGACACUGCCCGGACUCCUACGGGAGGCUGCAGUCGAGAAUCUUUCACAAUGGACGAAAGUCUGAUGAUGCGACGCCGCGUGGGGGAUGAAGGUUUUCGGAUUGUAAACCCCUUUUAUUUGGGAGGAAAACUAAGUUGCAAAUAGUUUCUUAGUUUGACUGUACCAUAUGAAUAAGCCACGGCUAACUCCGUGCCAGCAGCCGCGGUAAUACGGAGGUGGCAAGCGUUACUCGGUUUGACUGGGUGUAAAGGGUCCGCAGGCGGUCUAUUAAGUGAAAGGUGAAAUCCUUCGGCUCAACCGGAGAAUUGCCUUUCAAACUGAUAGACUUGAGGUUGGAAGAGGAAAGCGGAACUGACGGUGUAAAGGUGAAAUUUGUGGAUAUCGUCAGGAACGCCCGUAGAGAAGUCGGCUUUCUGGUCCAAUCCUGACGCUCAUGGACGAAAGCUAGGGGAGCAAACAGGAUUAGAUACCCUGGUAGUCCUAGCCGUAAACGAUGAGUACUAGGUGUCUGUUCGGAAGAAUGGGUGCCGCAGCUAACGCGUUAAGUACUCCACCUGGGGACUACGGCCGCAAGGCUAAAACUCAAAGGAAUUGACGGGGGCCCGCACAAGCGGUGGAACACGUGGUUUAAUUCGAUGCUACGCGAGGAACCUUACCAGGGCUUGACAUGCUUGAAGUAGUGCCCCGAAAGGGGUUACCACCAGUAACCAGUCUGGAACUUGCACAGGUGCUGCAUGGUUGUCGUCAGCUCGUGCCGUGAGGUGUUCCCUUAAGUGGGAGAACGAGCGCAACCCUCGCCUUUAGUUGCCACUCUUGAUUUAAUCAAGAAGCACUCUAAAGGGACUGCCCGCGUUAAGUGGGAGGAAGGUGGGGACGACGUCAAAUCCGCAUGGCCCUUAUGUCCUGGGCUACACACGUGUUACAAUGCCUAUUACAGAGGGACGCCAAUCCGUGAGGUGGAGCAAAUCUCUUAAAAAUAGGCCCAGUUCGGAUUGAAGGCUGCAAUUCGCCUUCAUGAAGCCGGAAUCGCUAGUAAUGGCGUAUCAGCUACGACGCCGUGAAUACGUUCCCGGGCCUUGUACACACCGCCCGUCAAGCGCUGAAAGUGGGGGGCACCCGAAGACUCGAUUUUUCGAGGACACGGUGAAUUUCAUGAUUGGCGCUAAGUCGAAACAAGGUA
RNAcentral lists this ribosomal RNA (1545 nucleotides) under metagenome. RNAcentral describes it as "bacterial SSU rRNA". It matches the Rfam family "Bacterial small subunit ribosomal RNA". The record is from RNAcentral.